UGGUUCUGGCAUNGAUGAAGAACGCAGCGAAAUGCGAUAAGUAGUGUGAAUUGCAGAAUUCAGUGAAUCAUCGAAUCUUUGAACGCACAUUGCGCCCUUUGGUAUUCCUUAGGGCAUGCCUGUUCGAGCGUCAUCUAACCCCUCAAGCAACGCUUGGUGUUGGGCGCCUGUCCCGCCUCCGCGCGCGGACUCGCCCCGAAGACAUUGGCGGCCUGUGUAUUGGCCACGAGCGCAGCAGACCCGCGGCUCGUGCCCUCUCGCGCGGGCGCUCCACGAAGCGACCACCCCCAGUUUUGACCUCGGAUCAGGUAGGGAUACCCGCUGA
This 325-nucleotide unclassified non-coding RNA is filed under the name uncultured fungus. Its description in RNAcentral is "partial contains 5.8S ribosomal RNA and internal transcribed spacer 2". The stretch from base 1 to 133 matches the Rfam family "5.8S ribosomal RNA", at positions 22 to 154 of the family's 154-position model. The record is from RNAcentral. Lineage: Eukaryota; Fungi.